Molecule: long non-coding RNA, 320 nt
Filed under: Citrus maxima (pomelo)
Lineage: Eukaryota; Viridiplantae; Streptophyta; Magnoliopsida; Sapindales; Rutaceae
Description: long non-coding RNA (CMAX_LNC003176)
Source: RNAcentral
CACUUCGGCCUUGGUCGGAGUGGUGGGCUGCUGCCCUCACAAUGCUUAUGAGGGCAGCGGUUCAAGUCCCCACAAAAGCAUUUGUGGGGGCUAACGUGUUUAUUUGUUUAAUAUUUCAAAAAUUUCCUCUCCCUCGUGCAAUACGAGUGGAGUAUGGACAUCCCUCUUCUGUAAGGGAUUAUUUGUCUGGGCAUGUACUUCACAGAAUUCAAUGUAAUAAUAUAAGUCCCAAUCAUGUAUUUCUGAUUGUAAAUAUCAGUGUAAUAUAUCUGCUAUAAUAGCAGUUGUAAAUAUCUGUGUAAUGCAGUAAUAUGAUGAUU